UCACGUGGCUGCGACUCCACCCUUGGUAACUGACGGAGACGCGGAGGUACAUGGGUGCCACUCCACAUUUCCAACACUCAGUUGAAUAUACAUCAUUGGGGCUGCGAGGAUAAACGCUAAUCAUGAACACUUUACUUCUAGCGGGACUAAUAUUCGCAUUAAUUGCGUUAUGUAGUGCGUCUACUACCACCGUGGCUACCGAACCCACAACUACGGCUCCGCCGGUCACAACUACCAAUGCAGCGACGACUUCCGGCGGAACUGCCGCCACAACUACCGGAGCGGCCGGAACUACCGCUGGCAAUAAUGGCACGACUCCUAACUCUUCAUCGAUGACUCUCGCAUCACUUAUCACAGUGUCCCUGUCUCUUCUGGUUGUUCGGAUGUGUUAAAGAACCAUUCACACAAUCGCCGGAAUCGUCGCCCCAUCCGUCACAAAGCGUUGUCUGUGAUCUCAACAUUGCAUGCUCUUAUCUUAAAUCCAGUUACAAAUAAUGUUUUUAUUUAUAAAGAUAUAAAUUACAAAUUAAUUUAUUUACAUUAAUUAAUUCAGACUUGUUUUAUGAUUUAUAUUGACUUUUAUGCAAUUAACGUUGUUUUUGUUAACCACACGAAGCUAAAUAACACAGCUUUAAACAAGUUUAAGGAAGUUUUUUAUCAAAUCUUCUUUUCUUGAAAAAAAACGUGUAAUUUCAUUAAAUAUUGUAUUGUUUUCGAGCAUAUUUGAAAAAGUAUUGUUUAUGACUGCCGAUGUAUAUUUGUAAAUCACUUACCAAGGUUAACACUCAUCUAAAAAAUGAGCAAAAAUUCAAAAUUGAGUCAAAAUAUCGACUUAAGUAUGUUUGUGAUACUAGGCCAUGAACUUGUGAUAAAUCUAUUCAAGUUGAACGUACAUUUAUUUCCUGUGAGUCACCUUAUAUAAAGGUCAUACUUUAUAUGAAGAGGCAUUCGUUUUGUCUGGACAUUUCUUGAAAUUUCACAAUGGCCGUCUUAAAAUAGACCAGUACGUGUGCGCAUGCGUGGACUCUAAAAUUGGAAUCGAUGAAGUGAUCAAAUCACUGAACAGAAACAAUUUAGAUCUACGUAACGCUUUGCUUAACUUUAUUAUUUUGUGUUUGUAAAAUGCGUACGCAUUAUUUUAUGUCAGUAAUUUAAUAAAUAUAUAACGGAAAGGA
Long non-coding RNA from Dreissena polymorpha, 1175 nucleotides. RefSeq lists it as uncharacterized. The transcript has 3 exons. The record is from RefSeq and is a predicted model, not a curated record. NCBI's taxonomy places the organism in Eukaryota, Metazoa, Mollusca, Bivalvia, Myida, Dreissenidae.